RNAcentral lists this ribosomal RNA (819 nucleotides) under uncultured eukaryote. Its description in RNAcentral is "SSU rRNA". It matches the Rfam family "Eukaryotic small subunit ribosomal RNA", at positions 629 to 1426 of the family's 1831-position model. The record is from RNAcentral.
CGGUGUUUAACUGGCGUGAUGUGGGACGUCCUACCGGUGGGCUUAGCCUCGCGAGGGGCGGCCCAACUAAUAUCCCGUCGCGGUGCUCUUUACUGAGUGUCGAGUCGGGCCGGUACGUUUACUUUGAACAAAUUAGAGUGCUUAAAGCAGGCUAUCCUCGUCUGAAUACUGCGUGCAUGGAAUAAUGGAAUAGGACCUCGGUUCUAUUUUGUUGGUUUUCGGAACCCCGAGGUAAUGAUUAAUAGGGACAGAUGGGGGCAUUCGUAUUGCGACGUUAGAGGUGAAAUUCUUGGAUCGUCGCAAGACGGACAGAAGCGAAAGCAUUUGCCAAAAAUGUUUUCAUUAAUCAAGAACGAAAGUUAGAGGUUCGAAGGCGAUCAGAUACCGCCCUAGUUCUAACCAUAAACGAUGCCAGCUAGCGAUCCGCCGAAGUUCCUCCGAUGACUCGGCGGGCAGCUUCCGGGAAACCAAAGCUUUUGGGUUCCGGGGGAAGUAUGGUUGCAAAGCUGAAACUUAAAGGAAUUGACGGAAGGGCACCACCAGGAGUGGAGCCUGCGGCUUAAUUUGACUCAACACGGGAAACCUCACCAGGCCCAGACACCGGAAGGAUUGACAGAUUGAUAGCUCUUUCUUGAUUCGGUGGGUGGUGGUGCAUGGCCGUUCUUAGUUGGUGGAGCGAUUUGUCUGGUUAAUUCCGAUAACGAACGAGACUCUAGCCUGCUAAAUAGGCGUACCUUAUGGUAUCGCGAAGGCCCCCGGCUUCGGCCGGUGGGUUUUUACUACCAACGUACAAACAAAUCUUCUUAGAGGGACAGGCGG